Molecule: ribosomal RNA, 409 nt
Filed under: uncultured bacterium
Lineage: Bacteria
Description: bacterial SSU rRNA
Rfam family: Bacterial small subunit ribosomal RNA
Source: RNAcentral
UAGGGAAUAUUGCGCAAUGGGCGAAAGCCUGACGCAGCGACGCCGCGUGAGGGAUGACGGCCUUCGGGUUGUAAACCUCUUUCAGCACCGACGAAGCGCAAGUGACGGUAGGUGCAGAAGAAGCGCCGGCUAACUACGUGCCAGCAGCCGCGGUAAGACGUAGGGCGCGAGCGUUGUCCGGAUUUAUUGGGCGUAAAGGGCUCGUAGGCGGCCUGUCGCGUCGAUCGUGAAAACUGGGGGCUUAACUUCCAGCUUGCGGUCGAUACGGGCAGGCUUGAGGUAGGUAGGGGAGAACGGAAUUCCACGUGUAGCGGUGAAAUGCGCAGAUAUGUGGAGGAACACCGGUGGCGAAGGCGGUUCUCUGGGCCUAUCCUGACGCUGAUGAGCGAAAGCGUGGGGAGCGAACAGG